Molecule: ribosomal RNA, 520 nt
Filed under: uncultured bacterium
Lineage: Bacteria
Description: bacterial SSU rRNA
Rfam family: Bacterial small subunit ribosomal RNA
Source: RNAcentral
CAGGACGAACGCUGGCGGCGUGCCUAAUACAUGCAAGUCGAACGGUCUUUCUAUGGAAGCUUGCUUCCACUGAGAAGAUAGUGGCGAACGGGUGAGUAACACGUGGGUAACCUGCCCAUAAGAGGGGGAUAACAUCCGGAAACGGGUGCUAAUACCGCAUAGUUUUCUUGAUCGCAUGAUCGGGAAAGGAAAGACGGCCUUUGUGCUGUCGCUUAUGGAUGGACCCGCGGCGUAUUAGUUAGUUGGUGAGGUAACGGCUCACCAAGACGAUGAUACGUAGCCGACCUGAGAGGGUGAUCGGCCACAUUGGGACUGAGACACGGCCCAAACUCCUACGGGAGGCAGCAGUAGGGAAUCUUCCGCAAUGGACGAAAGUCUGACGGAGCAACGCCGCGUGAGUGAAGAAAGGUUUUCGGAUCGUAAAACUCUGUUGUCAGAGAAGAACAAGUUGGAGAGUAACUGCUCCAGCCUUGACGGUAUCUGACCAGAAAGCCACGGCUAACUACGUGCCAGCCGCUGC